This 291-nucleotide ribosomal RNA is filed under the name Triticum aestivum (bread wheat). Its description in RNAcentral is "partial small subunit ribosomal RNA". Lineage: Eukaryota; Viridiplantae; Streptophyta; Magnoliopsida; Poales; Poaceae. The record is from RNAcentral.
AUGGUGACUCAGUGGGCGGCUUGGGAAACAGGACCACACAGGAGGCCCACAUCCGAGACAGCGAGCGAGCGAGUCAGGAGACGAGUGCGCAGGCGCGGAUCGUGGAGAAUUCCGGGUUGUGGCCGGCUCCAUUUCCGGGUCGUUGUCAAGGAGGCGAGGCGAAUCCAACCCCGCAUCUUCCGGGUCAGACAGGGCUCGCAGGCGGAGGUAAGAACGGUGUCGAGGCGAGCGGCGGCCACCGGCAGCAGUGAAGUGGCGAAACGCAAGGGCGGCUCGGUCAAGCGGAGGUGA